Molecule: transfer RNA, 70 nt
Filed under: Myotis lucifugus (little brown bat)
Lineage: Eukaryota; Metazoa; Chordata; Mammalia; Chiroptera; Vespertilionidae
Rfam family: tRNA
About the family: Transfer RNA (tRNA) molecules are approximately 80 nucleotides in length. Their secondary structure includes four short double-helical elements and three loops (D, anti-codon, and T loops). Further hydrogen bonds mediate the characteristic L-shaped molecular structure. tRNAs have two regions of fundamental functional importance: the anti-codon, which is responsible for specific mRNA codon recognition, and the 3' end, to which the tRNAs corresponding amino acid is attached (by aminoacyl-tRNA synthetases). tRNAs cope with the degeneracy of the genetic code in two manners: having more than one tRNA (with a specific anti-codon) for a particular amino acid; and 'wobble' base-pairing, i.e. permitting non-standard base-pairing at the 3rd anti-codon position.
Source: Rfam by way of RNAcentral
GCCUUGGCUCAGUGGGUAGAGCGUCAGCCUGUGGACUGAAGGGUCCUGGGUUCGAUUCCCAGUCAGGGCA